This 216-nucleotide ribosomal RNA is filed under the name uncultured bacterium. RNAcentral's name for it is "partial 16S ribosomal RNA". It matches the Rfam family "Bacterial small subunit ribosomal RNA", at positions 1285 to 1500 of the family's 1533-position model. The record is from RNAcentral.
AUCUCAGUUCGGAUUGCAGGCUGCAACUCGCCUGCAUGAAGCUGGAAUUGCUAGUAAUCGCGGAUCAGCAAGCCGCGGUGAAUACGUUCCCGGGCCUUGUACACACCGCCCGUCACACCAUAAGAGUCGGGAACACCCGAAGUCCGUAGUCUAACCGCAAGGGGGGCGCGGCCGAAGGUGGGUCCGGUAAUUGGGGUGAAGUCGUAACAAGGUACC